This is a long non-coding RNA of Bactrocera dorsalis (oriental fruit fly), 3167 nucleotides long. RefSeq lists it as uncharacterized. Lineage: Eukaryota; Metazoa; Arthropoda; Insecta; Diptera; Tephritidae. The transcript has 2 exons. The record is from RefSeq and is a predicted model, not a curated record.
ACGUCUCACAUAUCUCACGAUUAUAAGGGCCUGUGUUGGAACUCACAUAGAAUGGCAGACAGACCGACUUCAGUUGUUGGGUACAAAAACACUAAACAUAUGUUGCCACCCCUAGUGCGAGUGCGAUGAUAUGAUAUUAUAAUGAAACCACACGGAGACUAACUGUUAAGUGCGAAUGAAAGCCAAUGAUUUUUUCGUAUUGAAGGCAAGAAAAGUAGUUGAUAAGAAACAUACACACUGCUUCCAAUGCUCAAUCGUUUUUGUACUUAGUGAUUGUGUAUGGUAGAGAGUAUUUGUACCGCUAAGGCAUUCAACAAAGAGAAACCGCGAAAUCACCCGCAAAUAUAAGCAAGUUGCGUAAAAGAGUAUUUGCCAUUCGUGCUCAUUCACCAUUUUCGUUGACACGUUAGACUGCGAUAGCAGAUACUUAUGGGACAGUGCCAACCCAACAAUGAUGUCGUAGCGAUGUGUUUACUGCACGAAAUUCCAAUGGAACGCCUACAAGAAAUUACAUACCAGAUUUCCAAUUGUUCAGUGCCACUACUCAGUCCAUUUAGUAAAUGAAAGUGAACAGCGAUUAGCAUUCCUUUUUCAUAUCAGCUUGUUGAUAAUGUUUAGACUUAUUGACUCCCCUUUAUUUCUAGCAUAUGCUAAAGUAUUUGAUUCCAUUUCAUAGCGUUUUGCGCAGGAAAUCGCGUUGUAGUUCCAGAAAUUCCAUUCAUGCUUUUGAAUGCAACUUACACUUCCGUCCUGCAAGAAUUCAAGUCAGCACAUCCAGCUGGAACAGUCAGUAUUUGUGUUAACUCCGUACCUGCGAUUUCAAAACGGUGCGCGCGCCCCACAGCAUGCUUUAUCGUACAUUUGCACACACGGCUCCAAAAACGCCUAAAAUAACCGGUCGUGUUUUAUGAUUAUGAGGCGGUAGUUUGUGUUUGUUGCGACAAUCGUUGCACUUGGAUUUAAACUGCCACAAACAAUAAGUCAAAAACAGUGAAAAUUAGUUACAGCAACCAGCAGAGUCUUACUGUUAGCUCAUUAAACCUCUAUAUGGUUUAAAUUUUGAUUCAAUAGCAGUAAAAAUGUUUUCGGACUUCAUACUAACAGUUAUUUUGGCUUUAUUUCAAUAUUGUUGCAAUGAUAAAGUACCUUCAAACAUAUACAAAUCCUUGCUUUUAGAUCAAUGUAGCCGCCUACCGUUUAAAGCUUCAUAAAUAUAUAUUUUUUGUUAUUUUAUGAAAAUCCAAAUCAAUUAAAAUUCAGAAUAACGCGUUCAAAUGUUUCAUCUAACAGUAAAACUAGGCCAAUACACCCUUCCUUGUGUGCCGACGGACAUAUUUCGUACACAUACCUACAACUGACAUAUAGAAUUAUAGAGACACGAGGGCAGUGUUUUGAGCAAAGCAUGAUUUUGAAUAAGACUUAUAAAAGGCUUAAGGAGUAAUAUAAAGUUAGAAGACCGAAAAAAAGCGAAUUUUCCUGAUUUUUUUCCGAGAAAACUUUUAAAUGUAUUGAUCCAAAAAUUUGUUCACAUAUUCGUAUCUUUUAACUAUAUUUUAAGACUUAGUAUUAGUAAAAAUAUUUAUUUGGAAAGGAACUAUAGUUCAUCUCUGGGAGUUCCUCUCUACUAUAUCUCUGAACUGAAUCCUCUGAAAUUAUAAAAUCAAAGAGAUUUCGUUAAAGUAAUGUUAAGUCUAGUAACUAAAAGAAGGAAUAUGCAAAAUACAAUUUUUUGACAAAAAUCUCAAAAAAUAAAUGCAAUGCAAUUUUCUGUGUGUAUUCUUAAAUAUAUGUAUGUAAAUUAAGAAAACAAAUCGAAUUUUUGAAAAUUCUAACUGUAUAUAACCUCUAAUUGUGGUAUUUAAGUCUAGAAAUUUUAAAUGUUCAAGCAAAUGUCUAAAAAAUGAGUUUUCGAAAUUCAAACUAUUUUCGGUGAUAUCCAUAGGAAUUUUCCCUACCCGGCGUUCAAAUUACCAUAAUUCGCAAACUUUAAACGCGUUUUUUAGAGAGUCUGUUUUAUAAGCUUGUCAGUGUCUGAAAAUAUCCAUAUCACGAAACCGUCAACAAGUUUUUUUAAAAUCCAUAUCCUCGAAUUUGAAUUUUUACUAAUAAAUACAGAAAUAAUUUUUUUCGCCAUUUCGAGAAUGAAUUUUUCCCAACUUUUCCAUACUUCCAGUCAUUGCUAUAUUAUUCUAGAUUAUUAAUUUUUAUUUGGGUUUCAGACUGUUGGGAUGUUGGAAAUCGUGGGCAUGGUCACGUGUCAAUUUUUUAGACCUCCCACUUUAUUGGCUGCUUAUAUAUAUUUAUUAUAUUUAAAUUUAUUGAUUUCUUAGGAAUCAGCACCGGUAUCUAUAUUUGUUGCUCAAGCAAAAUCGUGUAUUAAAAAAAAAGAAAAAAAAAUGUUUUUAAAUUAUUAAAAUUCUUGAAACACCAAUUAGUCGACCUGUUUUAAUUGCGACGAAUUCUUCAUAAAAUAAAAUGUAAAGCAGAAAUAAUUAUAACAGCGCAAACAUAAGAAAGUAGCUAUACCCGCACACCGCUAGCAGUUUGAACUCGUUUGACAACAACAAUAUAGAACUUUUUUCACUGCCAAAGAAGCGCCAACCAGUUCUCGAUCUACAUAUGUAUAAGCACACAUGCAUACAUAGAACUUAAUUGCUGUUUCUAGGCAUUUGGUGCUCUCUCCGAUGAAGUUGACUGAGUCCUUACGAUUUUGCAUGCCACACACUGUUUUAGUUCUACAGUAGAUGGUUUGUUUGUAUGUAAUUUUCGGUUUUACAAGAAGAAUGCAAAAUACGUUAAGUAAAGCAUAGUCGUUAAGGGCAGAGAGCAUUUGUGCGCCAAAAAAUAAGUAGAAAAGACAAGACAAAUGUAGCUUCACCCCUUUUUUGCAUUGAGGAGCAUCAACUGCAAGCAGACACUAAAUAUCUGGCCGUUUUUAUUCAUUUAAGCCGCCCAACGAUCGUUGUGACAGCACCCAAAGGCAAAUUAGGCGCUAAAGAAGAGCUACGACACACCCUUAAGAUGUUCAGUUGAGCAGCAAGCAGCAGAGGAUGAAGGCGACGAAGAAGCCGCGGAAGCAUGUGUUAUGUGAUUUUGCAUUUUUUUAAUUUGAAUUUGCAAAACUGUUCGUUACUUUUACUUUCCUUCAAUAAACACUCGCACUCGUU